RNAcentral lists this ribosomal RNA (678 nucleotides) under Salmonella enterica. RNAcentral's name for it is "partial 16S ribosomal RNA". It matches the Rfam family "Bacterial small subunit ribosomal RNA", at positions 865 to 1533 of the family's 1533-position model. Lineage: Bacteria; Pseudomonadati; Pseudomonadota; Gammaproteobacteria; Enterobacterales; Enterobacteriaceae. RNAcentral also lists the same sequence under 1 other name. The record is from RNAcentral.
UAGACCGCCUGGGGAGUACGGCCGCAAGGUUAAAACUCAAAUGAAUUGACGGGGGCCCGCACAAGCGGUGGAGCAUGUGGUUUAAUUCGAUGCAACGCGAAGAACCUUACCUGGUCUUGACAUCCACGGAAGUUUUCAGAGAUGAGAAUGUGCCUUCGGGAACCGUGAGACAGGUGCUGCAUGGCUGUCGUCAGCUCGUGUUGUGAAAUGUUGGGUUAAGUCCCGCAACGAGCGCAACCCUUAUCCUUUGUUGCCAGCGGUUAGGCCGGGAACUCAAAGGAGACUGCCAGUGAUAAACUGGAGGAAGGUGGGGAUGACGUCAAGUCAUCAUGGCCCUUACGACCAGGGCUACACACGUGCUACAAUGGCGCAUACAAAGAGAAGCGACCUCGCGAGAGCAAGCGGACCUCAUAAAGUGCGUCGUAGUCCGGAUUGGAGUCUGCAACUCGACUCCAUGAAGUCGGAAUCGCUAGUAAUCGUGGAUCAGAAUGCCACGGUGAAUACGUUCCCGGGCCUUGUACACACCGCCCGUCACACCAUGGGAGUGGGUUGCAAAAGAAGUAGGUAGCUUAACCUUCGGGAGGGCGCUUACCACUUUGUGAUUCAUGACUGGGGUGAAGUCGUAACAAGGUAACCGUAGGGGAACCUGCGGUUGGAUCACCUCCUUACCUUAAAGAA